RNAcentral lists this non-coding RNA (23 nucleotides) under Arabidopsis thaliana (thale cress). Lineage: Eukaryota; Viridiplantae; Streptophyta; Magnoliopsida; Brassicales; Brassicaceae. The record is from RNAcentral.
UAAACAUGGGAAGAUUGCGCCGG